RNAcentral lists this ribosomal RNA (72 nucleotides) under Rhizoctonia solani. Its description in RNAcentral is "partial 28S ribosomal RNA". Lineage: Eukaryota; Fungi; Basidiomycota; Agaricomycetes; Cantharellales; Ceratobasidiaceae. The record is from RNAcentral.
CUGAUCUCAAAGUUAUCAGGUAGGAACUACCCGCUGAACUUUAAAGCAUAUCAAUAAAUGAUCCUUCCGCAG